UAGGGAAUCUUCCACAAUGGACGCAAGUCUGAUGGAGCAACGCCGCGUGAGUGAAGAAGGGUUUCGGCUCGUAAAGCUCUGUUGGUAGUGAAGAAAGAUAGAGGUAGUAACUGGCCUUUAUUUGACGGUAAUUACUUAGAAAGUCACGGCUAACUACGUGCCAGCAGCCGCGGUAAUACGUAGGUGGCAAGCGUUGUCCGGAUUUAUUGGGCGUAAAGCGAGUGCAGGCGGUUCAAUAAGUCUGAUGUGAAAGCCUUCGGCUCAACCGGAGAAUUGCAUCAGAAACUGUUGAACUUGAGUGCAGAAGAGGAGAGUGGAACUCCAUGUGUAGCGGUGGAAUGCGUAGAUAUAUGGAAGAACACCAGUGGCGAAGGCGGCUCUCUGGUCUGCAACUGACGCUGAGGCUCGAAAGCAUGGGUAGCGAACAGGAUUAGAUACCCUGGUAGUCCAUGCCGUAAACGAUGAGUGCUAAGUGUUGGGAGGUUUCCGCCUCUCAGUGCUGCAGCUAACGCAUUAAGCACUCCGCCUGGGGAGUACGACCGCAAAGGUUG
This 551-nucleotide ribosomal RNA is filed under the name uncultured bacterium. RNAcentral's name for it is "bacterial SSU rRNA". It matches the Rfam family "Bacterial small subunit ribosomal RNA", at positions 355 to 896 of the family's 1533-position model. The record is from RNAcentral.